Molecule: non-coding RNA, 98 nt
Filed under: Rhodoferax fermentans
Lineage: Bacteria; Pseudomonadati; Pseudomonadota; Betaproteobacteria; Burkholderiales; Comamonadaceae
Description: TPP sequence
Rfam family: TPP riboswitch aptamer (THI element)
About the family: Vitamin B(1) in its active form thiamin pyrophosphate (TPP) is an essential coenzyme that is synthesised by coupling of pyrimidine and thiazole moieties in bacteria.
Source: Rfam by way of RNAcentral
UCCCCCUGCUAGAGGUGCCACCCGUUUUCGGUGGCUGAGAAAUACUCUUAGAACCUGAUCUGGGUCGUGCCAGCGUAGGAAAGCGUCAAAAACUUGCU